RNA transcript from Oncorhynchus gorbuscha (pink salmon), 1969 nucleotides. It is a transcript of the gene named putative nuclease HARBI1, with no coding region annotated. The record is from RefSeq and is a predicted model, not a curated record. The transcript is spliced from 8 exons. Lineage: Eukaryota; Metazoa; Chordata; Actinopteri; Salmoniformes; Salmonidae.
CUGUUGCACAAAAGUAGAAUUAAGACAUCCGGGAUAAAUGACUCAGCUGAGCUCAAUGAAGCCAAAACAUGUGCGUCCAGGCUUAAUUGGUUGCACAAAGACCAAGCCAGGAUGAGCAGACACGGAUUCAUUAAGCCAGGUGAAACCAAUCCUGGAUAGGUGCGCGCUCACGGCUCACUCAAAUAGACCCCGCCACAGAUCACAGAUUAACUGAUUUACCAUGGCAACUAGAGCCGCGUACUUUUCCCCGUCGGAAGCACAAAUCCUCAUGGAGGCAUACGAGGAGGUAAAAGAUAUAAUUAAGAAGAAAGGCAACACCGCCACAGUGAUAAAGCAAAGAGAAAAAGCGUGGCAAAGUAUUGCAGACCGCCUGAAUGCAUUAAACAUGAACGGGCCAAAAAGGACAUGGCAGCAGGUCAAAAUCAAAUACAAGAACAUUCUGCAGAAUGCAGUGAAAAAGAAUACCCACAGACAAGGCACGGGUGGUGGGUCACCAAAGGCUGACCUUACCCCAGCAGAGGACAUGGCCUUGGAGCUAAAUAAAGGCAGGCCCGUCUUAGAGGGGAUCCCUGGGGGGAAAGAGACGAGCAUAGGUUCCUCCCAAGAUGCCACCCGCUUCAUUCAAGUGUCUGGCAGCACUGUGUUCCUGUUAGAGCCACCAGCACAAGCACCAGACGAUGCUGAUCCAGGUGAAGGCCCCAGUGCAGCAGCAACAGCACAUGAUGGAGACGAUGAUGAUGAGGAGGAGACCAUCUCUCUGGAUUCCAGAAGGCAUGAGGACCCAGAUGCUAUACAGUGGGAAAACCAGCCUGGCAACAUAGUGCGUAUUAAUAAAAGGACACCACAUCCUGCCAAAUUCCAGCUGCGCUAAUUGUAUUGUGUUCACAGAGCUCACAAGCUAUCAGAAAGUUGUAUGGCAACCACCUCCGGCGCCAAAUAGAACUGGCAGACAUAGACAUUCAGUACAAGAAGAAAAAGAUGGAAAAUCUUGCACUGGAGUCCGAAAUAAAAAAGAGGACAAUUAGGAAACUGGACCUUGAAAUAAAAAAACUUGAGAGGGAGGUGAGAUAUGCCUUCAAUGUACACUGUAUGCUAACUGUAACACAAAUGUAUUAAUCAUUAUUUGUAUUUCCUCCCCCAGCUCCAAGAAGAUGACACAGCUCAAAAUAAAAAUUAGGUAUAUUCUCGUAAAGUCAAGUGAGCCAUGACAUAUGAGCUCUUAUUGUGAGCACACAGGACGGUGGCAUCUUUCUAAGGUUUUUUUUAUUUUCCCAGCAAUCAGUACAACCAAGUCAUCGUUAUAAGGCAUCGCCCUCUUUUGCCCACCCCCCCAGCACCAGGUGUGGCCACUAGCCUAUAUGAAGGCCCAAAAUUGUGUGUUCCUUUCUGCUCUGACAAUGGCAUGCCCAUUCGUGCGAGAUGUGGUGGAUGAAGAAGCACUUGUGCUGAGGAGAGCCUUCAGGCGAGAAAGGGUCUUCAGGGACCGGUUGGACCCACUGGCCUUCCCUGACGACCAUCUAUAUGAAAGAUACAGGUUUUCUGCAGAUGGCAUCAGGUAUCUAUGCAGACUACUGGGUCCCAGGAUUAAGCACCGCACUGCACGGAGCCAUGCACUGAGUGUGGAGCAAAUGGUUUGUGUGGCCUUGCGCUUUUUUGCUAGUGGAGCCUUCCUGUACUCAGUGGGGGAUGCAGAACAGCUGAACAAGGCCACAAUUUGCCGCACAAUAAGGAGUGUGUGUCUGGCUAUCAAAGCAUUAGCAGAUGUCUUCAUCUCCUUCCCUGGCCACAGAAGACUCUGUGACAUCAAAGAGGAGUUCUAUAGGAUUGCAGAUGGUCUGCAAUGCUGACUGUGUGAUCAGCAAUGUUGUGGCAAAAUGGCCUGGCUCAGUCCAUGACUCCAGAAUCUUUCGGGCCUCUGAAAUCUAUCAGUGCCUAUCACAAGGUGAAUUCUCUGGUGUGUUGCUGGGAG